Molecule: ribosomal RNA, 482 nt
Filed under: uncultured bacterium
Lineage: Bacteria
Description: bacterial SSU rRNA
Rfam family: Bacterial small subunit ribosomal RNA
Source: RNAcentral
AUUGAACGCUGGCGGCAUGCCUUACACAUGCAAGUCGAACGGCAGCACGGGAGCAAUCCUGGUGGCGAGUGGCGAACGGGUGAGUAAUGUAUCGGAACGUACCUUCAGUGGGGAUAACGUAGCGAAAGUUACGCUAAUACCGCAUAUUCUGUGAGCAGGAAAGCAGGGGAUCGCAAGACCUUGCGCUGAUUGAGCGGCCGAUAUCAGAUUAGCUAGUUGGUGAGGUAAAGGCUCACCAAGGCGACGAUCUGUAGCGGGUCUGAGAGGAUGAUCCGCCACACUGGAACUGAGACACGGUCCAGACUCCUACGGGAGGCAGCAGUGGGGAAUUUUGGACAAUGGGCGCAAGCCUGAUCCAGCCAUGCCGCGUGAGUGAAGAAGGCCUUCGGGUUGUAAAGCUCUUUCAGCCGGGAAGAAAACGCAUGGGUUAAUACCCUGUGUGGAUGACGGUACCGGAAUAAGAAGCACCGGCUAACUACGUG